AAUGAGUAAUAAGAAGGCUUAGGGUUACAAAAUGUGAAACAAUUAUUUCAAUUGUUAGUAUACAGUAAGCAUGAGUUUCAUCAGACUAUAAUGCAAAACAGAUGAUAAACAAUAAUCAUUAAUUAUGCUAAUCUAACUAUAGUAAGCAUUGGUCGACCGUUAUUGAAUAUCGGUUUCCUAGAUGAUAACACCUGGUUUCAAUUAUCAUAACUACACUCCAGUCCCCCUUUCCCAAA
RNAcentral lists this long non-coding RNA (236 nucleotides) under Mytilus galloprovincialis (Mediterranean mussel). Lineage: Eukaryota; Metazoa; Mollusca; Bivalvia; Mytilida; Mytilidae. The record is from RNAcentral.